CUGCUAGCUCAGGUGGUUAGAGCGCACCCCUGAUAAGGGUGAGGUCGGUGGUUCGAGUCCACUGCGG
Molecule: transfer RNA, 67 nt
Filed under: Clostridium sp. CAG:729
Lineage: Bacteria; Bacillati; Bacillota; Clostridia; Eubacteriales; Clostridiaceae
Description: transfer RNA-Ile(GAT)
Rfam family: tRNA
About the family: Transfer RNA (tRNA) molecules are approximately 80 nucleotides in length. Their secondary structure includes four short double-helical elements and three loops (D, anti-codon, and T loops).
Source: RNAcentral